GUGGGAGAAAGCAUGCUUAGACAUGCAGUCGAACGGUAGCACACAGAGCUUGCUCUCGGGUGACGAGUGGCGGACGGGUGAGUAAUGUCUGGGAAACUGCCCGAUGGAGGGGGAUAACUACUGGAAACGGUAGCUAAUACCGCAUAAUGUCGCAAGACCAAAAAGGGGGACCUUCGGGCCUCUUGCCAUCGGAUGUGCCCAGAUGGGAUUAGCUUGUAGGUGGGGUAACGGCUCACCUAGGCGACGAUCCCUAGCUGGUCUGAGAGGAUGACCAGCCACACUGGAACUGAAACACGGUCCAGACUCCUACGGGAGGCAGCAGUGGGGAAUAUUGCACAAUGGGCGCAAGCCUGAUGCGGCCAUGUGCCGUGUGUUAAAAAAGGCUUUUCGGUUUUUAACUCUUUUUUCCAGGGAAGAAGGGGGUGGGGGUAAUAACCCCCCCUGUUUGACAUUUCCCGAAGAAAAAAAAACCCGGCUAUGUCCUUGCCACCAGCCGUGGUAAUACGGAAGGGUCCUUCGUUAAUCGUAAUUUCAGGCCAUAUGCUCCACCCAUGGGGUCUGCCAAGUCCAAUGUAAAUUAGUCGGGCUCAACCUGGGAACUGCAUCCGAAGCUGGAAGGAUAGAGUUUGGUAGAGAGGGGUAGAAUUCCAGGUGUAGCCGUGAAGUGCGUAGAGAUUUGGACGAGUACUAGUGGGGUAUGCAGCCCUGUGUGCUCAGACGCUGCUCAGGUGCAGCAUCAGUGGGAGCAAACAGGACUACAGUCCCUGCUAGUCCUCCGUCCUAUCUAUGCCCACUUCGACGGCUUGCGCCCCGUGAGUCGACGCCUCUUCUGAGCAUACUCGAGUCAGCCAGCUUCUGAGGCAGGCCCUAGGAGUCCAAGGCAUAUCAUUCUAACUGGACCCACCGCACCGGGUGGACAUUAUGGUAUAUCUCGAUACACCGUGAGCCUCCCUUAUAUCGCGUCUGCUCCAGAGACUAGAUAAACGGUGCUUUGCUGCCUUCGGGAACUCUGAAAACAGGUGCUGCAUGGCUGUCGUCACCUCCUGUUGUGAAAAGUUGGGGUUAAAUCCCCCAACCAAGCGCAACCCUUAUUCCUUUGUUGCCCAGCGGUCCGGCCGGGAACUGCACUCAUGCUUCAAAAGUCGAUCGUCAUUCAUGUGGGGAUGGCUGCGAGCCAUCAUGGCCCUUACGAGUAGGGCUACACACGUGCUACAAUGGCAUAUACAAAGAGAAGCGACCUCGCGAGAGCAAGCGGACCUCAUAAAGUAUGUCGUAGUCCGGAUUGGAGUCUGCAACUCGACUCCAUGAAGUCGGAAUCGCUAGUAAUCGUGGAUCAGAAUGCCACGGUGAAUACGUUCCCGGGCCUUGUACACACCGCCCGUCACACCAUGGGAGUGGGUUGCAAAAGAAGUAGGUAGCUUAACCUUCGGGAGGGCGCUUACCACUUUGUGAUUCAUGACUGGGGUGAAGUCGUA
This 1475-nucleotide ribosomal RNA is filed under the name Citrobacter freundii. RNAcentral describes it as "bacterial SSU rRNA". It matches the Rfam family "Bacterial small subunit ribosomal RNA". The record is from RNAcentral. Lineage: Bacteria; Pseudomonadati; Pseudomonadota; Gammaproteobacteria; Enterobacterales; Enterobacteriaceae.